This is a long non-coding RNA of Pogonomyrmex barbatus (red harvester ant), 1351 nucleotides long. Lineage: Eukaryota; Metazoa; Arthropoda; Insecta; Hymenoptera; Formicidae. The record is from RefSeq and is a predicted model, not a curated record.
AAACUUAGUUUCCAAACAUCGAGAUUGCUCUAUCAGAUUUGAGUUGAUUCUAUUCUAGUUCUAUUCUACACAAUACGUUCAAUUGCAUUCCGUUCCUCCCUUUCUCGCGCACGCUAUCAAAUCGCGCCGAAUUUUUAAUUGUUAGCUUAGUUUUUAUUAAAGCUACAUCAUUUGUGUGCACAAAACUGAAUUGUUCGAGCGGCAGGUAAUGGCGGCUACCCACGUUCGCGUCUCGUUUCGUUUGUUUACUGCGAAUGUAAACGUUAAAGUCUGGAUGGUUUCUACGGAAACGCAACGAAGGCGGUCGUUUAAUUAAAUAAACGUUUGUUGAGACGUCUCCGGAGAUUCAUUUUUCAGUGGCGCGACGUGCACCAAGAAUUUGUGCCAAAGUAGCAUUCCUUUUCAUCAUAAUCACCGUCGAUGACUACCGGAAAGGCCAAAGGCCUCCACAAUUUCUGACCGGACAGCCGUGAAAAGCAGCUUUUUCUGCGGUGUCGCGUGAUUCCGCGGAUCGAAUGCUCGAUGCAUUUUAUUUACAUACAUGCGUACAGGCAAGUCGGAGAGGACGCGUUAGAAGAGACGGGGGAAGGAGAGGCGGAAUCGCAGGUGUCUUCGCGAUUUCUAUAUAUAGCGAUUACAGCGACGCGCGAUCGUCGAUAGAUAGAGACGGCAAUAAAUUCGAUAAAUCGAUCUGUUCAACGGCGACGACGAGGUCGAGCCUCCCGGCGGCGAGUGUUUGCCGCGCGUGCGUUUGCAAGCGUAUACGGCGUCGCUGAAUUCCUGAGGAUGAUCUAAAUCAAUUGAAUUUCCAGGCGGGAGGAAAUGAAGAAAACCCAGGAUAUCCUGCGUGUGACCUAAAUGAAUUAUUGUACCGUUUUAAGUAAUGACGAUGCUAGUUGUUGCAGAGAAAAGAGAGGAAGGGAGGAAGGUUAUAAUAAUAUAUUAAGGCAGGCAAGGCGUCGAAUGUAUGGUACUAAAUUACGAUUACGCUACAGCAGGAAUGUACGCGAUUCCUGUAAAUGGAAAUCGGUACAAGGCGCAUGGUAAAUUAGAUGAUCGCACUACCAUACGCAGAGCGAAUUGAUUGUCAUGUUCGCAGGUGCUCGCUCAAAGAGGGUCCUCGGGGACCGUGUUACCGGUGCGUGUAAUUAAUUGCGGUUACAAUCGAGCAAUUUAUUCCGAUCGUUCCAGACGUACGAGCUCGUACGUUAAUGGCAAGCCACGUCGAUCUUGGAACGUCAGUUUAGCGUCUCAAUAACAUACUGUUUACCGAAAUCCGCCGCAGAAAAGUUCUCCUUCAUGUAUAUCAUGGCCAAGCGAUGGAAAAAAAUAAAUAAGAAUUAACAAACUU